Molecule: long non-coding RNA, 1237 nt
Filed under: Cricetulus griseus (Chinese hamster)
Lineage: Eukaryota; Metazoa; Chordata; Mammalia; Rodentia; Cricetidae
Description: lncRNA (ENSCGRG00000026033.1)
Source: RNAcentral
CGGGGAGCGCCCCGCUGCGAGCCAAACAAUCCCGGCUGCGAAACAGCCCCCCGGGGAGGCCUGCUUUCCUUGCAGCUCCCACACCCCACCCCGCCGCGCACGCAGCCUGCCCACCCGGAGGCCCUGGGCUCCCCGCUACUACACACCCCGCGCUUCCUUCCUGGCUCUCGGUAGCCCGCCGCGGUCCUCCAUUCUUUGGCUCCUCCUCGGUAUGCAUAAUAAUCCGUGGUGGGCAAGGUCCGGCGUAGUGUGCGCUCCGAAGAGUCCCCUUUCAAGUUUCAGUUCAAGCCACGGGAGGAUUUUGAAAGCUCCGAUGUUUCUAUAUUUUUAUGGAAGGUCGUGGAAGGAGGCUAGUUCCUCUCCACCCCUUGCUGCUCUGGAACAUCGGCGAUGCUGAAAGUUGUUGGUGCUGUAAGAGGCCAUUCCCUGCCUGUGUCCCCGCCUGCAAGGAGAGACAACGCUCUGGUACCUUCGGGAUGCAGUUUUGCUGCCGCCAGUGCCAUGCUUUGAAAUGUUUGUGGAUGAAAGGGACACAACAGACUCCUGCUCUCGUUUCCCUUCAGGGUCCCAUGAGCUCCCCACACUUUCUUGUCACAACUUCUCACCUCAGGGGAUGGCAGGUCGAGGAGGAAAGGGUUUUUCCUGGCUUAUGCUCCCACAUCAGCUCUGGUUCUGCCACACCACCUCCCAUCAGCCUCCAGGAUUCUUGUCCCUCAGGUAAACAGGAUUUUAGCAUCAGAAUUUAGGGUGAAAUUUCUAAAGAGGUAGAACAAACACACACAAUGAAUGGGCUAUCCCUGAGGUUAGGGGGAAUUAAAGAGCAGAGGGCUCGGCUGGAAAUGGCACACUGAGCCAACAGGCUGGGCUGGAGGGACAGCUCAGGGAAGGACACUUGUGCCACAGAAACCAAAAGGAGGCAGCCAUCAGGCAAGCAAUUGGAACAGAACCACUCAAAGUUUGGGGCAGGGAGGUGACAUGAGAAAGCUGUACUAGGUGAUGGCUUUCUAGGCUACACCAUGGUAGAGUGGACCAGAGUGAGGGUCAUAUGACCUUUCAAACAAUUGGUCAUUCAUUCAUUCAUUCAUUCAUUCAUUCAUUCAUCAUUCAUUUGUUCUAUCAGUUUUCUCCCUUCCGUUUCCACCUGAGCCCUGGUGACUGCUCGUCUCUCCCCCUACCUGAGUCUCCUCUAGACUCCCUCUUCUUUUGCAAUCCUAUCCUAGCAUUGGCAUGGUGCCUG